GGGCGCAUAGCUCAGGGGUAGAGCGCUCGCUUUGCAUGCGAGAGGUCAUGGGUUCAAAUCCCAUUGUGUCCA
Molecule: transfer RNA, 72 nt
Filed under: Fonsecaea pedrosoi CBS 271.37
Lineage: Eukaryota; Fungi; Ascomycota; Eurotiomycetes; Chaetothyriales; Herpotrichiellaceae
Description: tRNA-Ala (TGC) (tRNA-Ala-TGC-1-1)
Rfam family: tRNA
About the family: Transfer RNA (tRNA) molecules are approximately 80 nucleotides in length.
Source: RNAcentral